GAGUUAGGAGAUCACAAAUUUUAAAAAUUGUGAUUCCAUCAGUCACGAUUUUGCCGAAGACCACAUUCAAAUCGGACGUCUCAUCAAUUAAUUAUCGAUUUUUAUCCAACUCGAGAAACUUUAACAAAACGCUUUACUGUUCCCUCGUCAAAUCAACACUGGAAUACGGAUCAGCAGUCUGUGUUGGGAGUGCGACAUCUGUCUCCCCAUCUAUGGGCGGCAAUAAGAGAGACACUUGACAAUAGGUUUGCAUAAUACAGUUCACUGUAAGAGUCCGUGCAAUACACAUCGCUGAAUCGUACGUUCGUUGUUUGCCACUGAUUACGCGUUAUACCGAAAGUUCCCCGGAUCGGUUCCCUUGUUCCGUCGUCGGUAUAGAUUCCGCUGCACGACCAGUCCGUCGUGGUCCACCUCGCUCUACAGUCUGGAGUCCUAACUACAACAACGUCGCUGAGCAAAUCGAAUCAAUUCAACGUCGGACGAGGACACUUCGCCUGCCGAGUUACGAGAGGCGGUGUCAGUUGAUUUACUUGCAACCCCUGUGUAUACGAAGUUGCAGUUUACAGAGCCUUGACCAUGAUCGAUACUCUGCAAGGACGAAAAAUUGUGAUCAGGCUUAGAAAGCGUCAGCGUCAACACGGGUCGUCGCGCGAAUUUUACAGAAGUGCCUCUCUCAAUGUCAUCGAAUCGGGAGACAAUGGCCAAGAGAGUCUAACAAUAUUUGCUCAUUUUUCGGUCACGACGGAGCGUGACAUGGUUGUAAACAAGGCAAUUACUACAACAUUCAUGAAUUAUGUCGUUGUUUAAAUCCAUUAAAGCAUGAAUGAAUGUCCUCUCUAUCUGUUAAAUACAACGGCUAGCCUAAAUUUGCUUGGACCAGGUGAAAAUUUUAAUUUAAAAACAAUAUGAAAAUUUUCGUCAUGACGCUUGAUCAUUGCAAAAUGACAUGACGAAGUGCGUGAAUGCUCGUUUUGUCUUGUGACGAUGAAAGAGUCUACUUGUUCAUCGUCAAAGGAAGCUCACGACCCUCACGACCAAUAACAGCGCUGAUUGUGAUUCUAUACUACAAUACAUUAAAUGAACAUCAAUGUUCAACCACGGCUGCUGCGGAACAGCUCGAUGCUGAGGCUUCCACUCCGUCGUAACGAUUAAGGGAUAAGAAGUGUUAUAUGUACUAGCAUUACAGAUACCACACGGUUAAAAAUGUGUGGCAUCAAUCUUUGACUUUCACAUGACGAGGAACGAACUGUCAACAAAUAUCAAUUUUAGCGUUACGUAAUAAAUGGAUGCUGCCUAAAUGUCUUGGUAUGAUUUAUUUUGUCUACCUAUUCUUCUUUUGAAGAAUAUAAGACAUGUUAUUUAGUUUUAAGUCUUUAAUGACAUUUGGGCUACAGAUAGUCUGUUGACGUAAACACAAAUAAAUAAAUCGACGUUGCCGCGCUGGGGUUCAUUAUAGGAUUAUGAACAUUUUUGUUUUUCAAAUCGUUUAUUAAAGGCUCACUUGCCGUACACAGCUUAAUUAUUAACAAAUAUCUAUGCCCCUAUAGUAGACCUCCCCUUUUAUUUCCAUGUUAUAUUCAUAUAAUUCCUCGCUGUCGACGGUGCAGUGCCUGAAUGUGCCUAUAAUGGACCCUUUAGAGCGUUUACAUUGAUUAAAUAGUUAAAAUAACUGAUUUUUGUGGCCACUGGACAAUCCGUUUUCCAACAACUUCUGUGCAGCAAUGUAAUUGAUAUUUCCCCGGUGAAAGUUGCCCGGAAUCAGUUGAUUUGUGUACAGUCAGGUUUUUUUUUACGCGGGGGAUACGUACCGCGUAAAAAUAAAACUCAGUUCAAAAUUCGAAAAACCGCGUAAAAAAAGUCUCACCGUUUCUCGACGAAUCAUGCAAAAAUAAGUCGAUGAAAAAAAAAUUUUGUAUGGAGUUUUCAUUUACGCGGCCGCGUAAAUGAAAACCGCGUAAAAAAGACCUGACUGUAUUAACCCUCUCUUUCCCAUGGUAGCACAGGUGAUCCACUACUUUGCACUGUUCAUACAAAUACAGCAUAAAUUAGAUCAUUUCCAUUUUUUCAUCAGAUGUUUGUAUAUGUUAAAUGAACUAUUAUGCCAAGUUUGGUCAAAAUUUCUCUGCUAGUUUUUGUUCUAGAGCUAAAUGAUUCAGUGAAAGUCGGUAUUUUUUUCUAUUUUAAUUCAAACAAUAUUUGAAUGUUCAAUAUUCCGAAAACUGAACAUUAUUUUAAACGGAAAAAAUACUAGCAUGCCAUGUAGUAUGUAUAUUAGCAGAAUAAAAUACCGUUUUAUAAACAAGUUGACGAUAAAACACUAAUUUAAUGAACAAACAUGUGGAUCAUCAGUGAUCCAUUGGGAACAUAACGACAUUUUUAUCCUUCCUGAUCUAACCUGUUCCUGGUUAAAAUGUUUGUUUACAUCCAAGACAUUUGCCAUUAUUAACAGUGUUUCAUGUAAAAAUGUCAUUAUUCCAUAUAAUGUAAUCUAUUUAGCGCCGGCAAUAAGUCGCAGAUGAAUCUAGGAGGGUUUAUAUGGUACGAGAAGAGAAUUCAUAGAUUCGAAGCGAACCGAAUAACAACUACUUAUGGUAACUGCAAGAAGUCCGAGAUUUAUAAAUAUAAAGUUUUUGAAAAAAAAAAUAAUAUACAAAUAAAAAACAAAAUUUGUAUAUGUGCCUUCAGUGCAUCCAUCUUCCCAAUGGAUCACAGGUGAUCCACCCCGAAAAUCAUUUUUCUCAUUUCUAACGAUAUUUUGGAGUAAAACUAUACAUCUUUUGUUCUGGUGAUUUGUUUAGAAACCUAUUAAUCUAUUUUUAAUUGUCAAAACACCUUGUGGGAAAGAAAGGGUUAAGGCGAAACUGGAAUUAUUUCCUCAUUUUUUUCAGUUUCUGAUUUUUUAAAAAAUAACGAAGCAAUAUUUUUAAAAACGUACACAUGUAGAGUAUGUGUAUCUUUUACACGAAAAAUCGCAAAAAUCCCCUUACGUAAUAAAUGGAUAGCACCAUAUAGGCUUAUUCAGAUGACCCCCAUUUGUAGAGGCGCUUGGAGAGAUAAGGAGAAAAUCGUUUGUUUACAUAAAAAAAGUCAAUUUUUUGUCGUCAAAUUUUACUCAUUUUUUGCUCUCCAUUUGCAAUGGCAUCUAAUAUCAUCAUUCUCGAUGCCCAUGCCGACGGACACCGGAUUGGCCAGCUAACAAAAAAUUCUGAAGAUUGCCCGCCGGAGGCAUAGCAAGAGCUCCUCAAAUUAAUCACAUAAAUUGUUUGUAAGUACCUAAGGGAUCUAAGCGCAUCUGAAAGAGAAUUAAAUUUUCUUUCCAAAAAGUGCUCGUUUGUUUCUCUACGAUGCGGAAUUCGAUAUGAAAAAUUGAAUAAAGUUCACUUUGCCUAUGCUGCACCAUGGCAAAUUUUGGCGGAUUCACGUUUUUCAUAGGGUUCUUAUCCCUGCCACCAGAUGCGGAGGGAUCGUUAGCUUCCGUUAGAUUUGCCUAUUGAUAUCACAUUUAGAUAUCAGUUUAUCUUAAGAUAUUUGAUUUCGUAUUGCUGUUAUCUUAAAUAUUUAGUUUUUUUAGUAUUUUUUUAAACAUUUAGCAAACCAUGUAUAAUAACUUUUAAGAUACCGGGCGCUUCCUUCAAAGAGCGAAAGUUUACUGGUAGCAUUGAACGUGUCCGUGUCUUUUUUUUUUGUAAGAGGGCCAAAAUGUUUUAAGGUGUCCAAAACAGUAAAAACUAAUGCUCCAGAAAUCAGGUAUUUUCUUCAAAUUUUCAGCCACUGUGAUUAAAUAGUAGAUGCUUUUAACACUUAUGUGGCCGGCAAGGUACCCGGGUACCUUUUUCAAUUUCAAAUCUCGAUAUUUUUAUGGUUAUUGAGACUAGGAUGUUGGAACUCUGUUAGAUCUUAGAACUCGUGAAUAUACAUCUAUUAAUGGGGUUGACCGAAUUUUAAAGUGAGGAGGGGCAGGGGGAGAGGCUCCUGCAUUUUUUUAUUACGUGGAAGGCCGGCAGGGUACACGGGUACCCACGAAAUUGAAAUGAUCAUGUCUCCGUCAAUUUUUCAUCGAUUUUGGAAAUUUUUUAGCUCAUUCAACUCAGAAACUCAUCAUCUAUCGGAAAAAUAUUUGGUUAGACCGAUCUAAUCACCGUGGUUUUCAGAAAAUCCAUAUUUUUGGGAGCAUGUCCUUAUACCAUAUUGAAACCCACAUUGUUGAGGCUAGGAUAUCUUAAAGUGUUUAUGGUCAACCAUGGCCCCACGGAAAGCGUGUUCCGAAAACACAGUUUCAAAGUCAACACGUUUUAUGAUUCCAGGCCGGUCAGAUACAAUAUGCCAAAGCAAUUAUACGAUGCUUGGUACCGAAAUUGCUACUAACCUACCGAAAAUCCCGUAUAUUGUAUUGUAUAAAAACCUGGAUUCGGAAAUCCGGAUUUUUCAGUACCUAUGGUGAUUGGACCGGUCCAACCAAAUACGAUCUCGAUAGAUAAUGAGUUUCUGAGUUGAAUAAGGCAAAAACUUUUAAAAUCGGUGGAAAAAUAGCUGAGAUAUGAUUAUUUCCAUUUCGUGGGUACCCGGGUACCCUGCCGGCCUUUUACCGGGUGUUUUUUUUUUGCUGGCCACACUACGGUUAAGAUCAUACUAACAUGAUCAUUAUGUGUAACGCCCUUUGAACCUGUUUGAUUUAGACUUAAAUUUAAAAUUAUGUCCUCUAGGGGUCCAAAAUGCGACCGUUACCCUAUGACAUAAGGAACUGUUCUGGACAAGAUGUCUUUGUGUCCGUCAGAUGUUGAAAAAAAUACAACCUGUGACCCCGGUGAAGUCAGCAGACAUACUUCUUCUCCAUGAUUCUAUUACCUCAUGCUACCUUCCAUACCUCAGAAUGUUCAUUUCUCGGAGAGAUCGGUCCCACCAUGAACUAUUAAACGAUUUUAUUAUGCUCGCCGUAAUCACCAAUUGAUUUGGUGGUGGUGACUAGCGUCCGGAUACAUCAUACACUGCGCUCUCCCCCGUUAUUUCAACUGAAUAAGCAGCGUGGUAUGGUUCAUGUGUUUGUAUUAUGAAGAACGUGCAGCCACGGACGGUAUAAUACGGUAUAGUAUCAGUCGCCGCAUGUAUAUACUUGGCGAUGACAUCAUCACCUUUUCGCUCAAAUUUAUGUGUGCAUCCGUCCGCCGUCGAAACAGAGAGCCGACGACAUCACGUCGCAUGUAAAUGCAAAGGCUUAGAUGAAAGUGUUCGACCCACCAAUCAAUGCAAGUGAAGAUUUGGAAUUUCUGUCAAACAAGAUUCUGGUGGUGUUUUAUCAGUGGUUCUUAACAUUUUUCUUUAGUCGUUGAGCGUUAGGUUAAACGACGACACCUUACGCAUAAAAUCCAACCCAAUUUGUGAAACACGAUCUAAUGAUUUCUCCUUGGGCCUAAUUAUACUGUUUGUGAGUGUUGUUUUUUUUCUCAAGUGGCAACAUUCCAAAACUUGUAUUUAUCUGUCCUCUUGUUUUCUUUUGAACUAAUCUUCAGAAUGAAAAAAAAAAGAUCAAGUCUCGGACUAGCGUGAUCUCUCAAGUUAGAAUAAAUUUAUCUAAUAAACAUAAACACCACAGUACAUGACGAAUUCGUCAAAACAGAUAUUCUCCCAAGGAAGCAAACACAAAUUUAGUAUUAAUUAAUAUUGUUAUAGCAUUUUCCGCUAUUCGUCCUUAUUAAAAUGUAGCAAAGUAAUUAGGAAGGUUUUUUUUAUUAGAUAAUCACAUUACUAAACUGGGCGGAGAUUAUAAAAAAGUUCAAACGGCAGGAAGCAGACCUCAAUAUUUACGUAGAUUGUAUAAAAAAUAUUGUCCAAAAACAAUUGUUACCUACUCACUCUCCGUUAAUAAUGACUGUGACACUUGCUUCGAUUUAAUCAAUGGUAUUUUUUUGCUUUUAAUACGUGCGAUAACAGUAGCGCAAGCAAAUAAAGAUGAUAACUUCAAAAUGUAAAAUUUCGUCUAUGCGAAGCGACAUACUCACGAGGGGUGGCAGAUGUAGAUAAUAUAGGACACUACCGAACAUGAGGAAAUUGGUGUGUAAGCUACCGAAUCCAUGGUUAAAUUAUUAUCAAUCCAGUCAUCCAGUCGAAGCCCGGAAUUUGGUACAACCGAAAUUCGAUUUUUCUCCAAAUCCAUGCAUCGGGCCUAAAUUCGGAAAUGGUGCGGCGUGUAUUAGAUCAUCAUGUCCGCUAAACAGCGCAUGACUUCCGACGUUAGGCAGCAUACAUUUAUUUAGUAUUUUCAUUUCAUUUUCAGUUUAACAUAAAUUUCAUAAUAACACUGAAUCAACAAUUGAGUUUUUAAAUUAAAAAAAGUUGAUUUUUUUUGGUUUUAUACGAAAGAGCACCUUUUUCUGAGUCACUAUGAUUUUUUUCAGAUUUUUAGAACUCUGUUUUGCUACCUUAAAUCAAUUUCAAAGAUAUUUUUUGAAAUCACCUUUUUACAGCUGGGAAACUGUUUGACAGCUCCGCCCAGUACAAACUGCGACGAGGGGUGAUUCGACAAAUCGCUCCCAUACAAACUUCAAAUUGAUUUUUAAAUAAGUUCCCGGACUCCAAAAUUCAUGAAAAUUUGGAUUUCGGCUUAGCUUGACAUGCAGAUUCAGAAUAUCGUAUUAUCUUAACACCGUUAAAGAAACCAAUUGGGUUUUUAAAUUUUGAAAAAUGUAUUGAUUUUUUAGUUUUAUAUGAAAGAUCACAUUUUUCGUCGUAGAUUGUGUAUAUUUGAAGACAAAUCGUUUAUGUUUUUUUGUCAAAAUCACACUCAACUUGACCCUCGAGCAGUAGUCGCGUUAUCGACCACCUUCAGCGACACCACGCUCAAGCUGUGCACCACGAGCGUGCAUUUUUGAAGGUCUGUGUACUUAGGGUCUGUCCCAAUUGGCGAAUUAAAAUUAAUUUUUACUUGCAUUUGACAGUUCGACACUUAAACAUGACAGUUCUCCCACAGACAAACAGACGUAACACUUGUGAAAUUUCCAUCGACCACGCUUUUGACGAUCAUUUUAAAUUUCCAUAGUUGUGGCUUUCACAACCAGAGGAGCGCGCAUCGUUUUUCUAUGCGUUUGACGUUUCACACUAGCGCCUUCUGUUGACGAUAUGGCACAACACAGUGAUUCGUGCAACUUUUCCACCAGGUGAUGGUAGUGUGAGCUGGGCGAUGGAUUUCCAUGAAAAUCGUUCAAGGUGUUACGUCUGUUUGUCUGUGGUUCUCCUAAGGAAAUGAUUAUCGAACUGUCAAAUUUAAGUGAAAAUUAAUUUUAAUUCUCCAAUGAAUUAACUACAUCGGCUGUUUUCCUACUCUCCGCAUCGACCAAUGUGGCGCUAG
Molecule: long non-coding RNA, 7342 nt
Organism: Aedes albopictus (Asian tiger mosquito)
Lineage: Eukaryota; Metazoa; Arthropoda; Insecta; Diptera; Culicidae
Exons: 2
Source: RefSeq, a predicted model, not a curated record